Schizosaccharomyces pombe (fission yeast) is the source of this 1015-nucleotide non-coding RNA. The record is from the annotation of a GenBank genome assembly. Lineage: Eukaryota; Fungi; Ascomycota; Schizosaccharomycetes; Schizosaccharomycetales; Schizosaccharomycetaceae.
CUAAAAAAUUCCCAUUUUUGUUGUAACGCAUUGCAAUUUUCAGUGUAGAGUCUUCAUGUUAAGAAACUUUGCAAUAAAAAUAAGAUCUGUUCGACUUUUUCUUGUGCAUUACCAACUAGAGUUAAUUGAGAGUUUCCUUUUGAAUCAUAUGUUGAUUGAAACCAUUAUGAGGACCAAAUGUGUAAUUUUUACUAAAGUAUCACCGAUUGUUCUUUUCUAUCUGUGACCGAAAAACAAAAUUCUAGCUCAAUAUUCGUGUCAUUCGGAAUCUUAUAUUUGUGCUUUAUCCAUUCUUCCCAAUUUCGUUUUUCUUCACUAUUUAUUCGCUUCCAUCGUGUUUGGUAUAAUGAAGUCAAUCGCUGUAUAUUUGAAGUAACUGGUUCCUCAAAUUGGUUGACACAAGAGAAUUGUAUGAGAGUAUCACUGACAUCUUUUUUUUUUGAAUGAACUUCAAGAGUGUAUAGUUUAAGUGUUUCACACGAAAGGCCGUUAUCUUUAAAUAAAGUGUGAUCAUAAUUGUAUGUAGCACCAUAAUUUAGUAGACAACCUGUAAUUGCUGUACUGGUGCACUCGAAUUCUUUCUGUUCAUUAUUUUCAAUAAUAUUUUGUCGCCAUGAAGAAGAUAUAUCGAUUGUGAACGUUGACAAGUUUCUUUUACAAAGGUCCAAAAGUCGAUCCACAUGUUUAGUUAUACAAGACUGCAAUAGCCGAUUUUGCUUUUUUGAAGGUAAAUCUACUACUAUAGGUACCAAUGAAUCUAUGGAACUCCAUUCUUCCCAAUUUGCGACAUGCAAUACGAAACAUUGUGAAAUGGGCUCCGUGAAAUAGAUGCCCCGUAAGCAAUCCGGGCCUACGAAUUCGAUAAUUUCUCUUAAUUCAGAAAUUUCCAAAAAAACGCAAUCGACGAGAUAACUUGUUUUGAGUCCUAUCAUAACGGGAAGUAUCCCAUCUACUAGCUUUAUCGCUGUUGAAUGAGAAAUUCCAAUUAAUUUCAAAAAUCGAAUAAUGUCUUUAU